RNAcentral lists this ribosomal RNA (374 nucleotides) under uncultured organism. Its description in RNAcentral is "partial 16S ribosomal RNA". It matches the Rfam family "Bacterial small subunit ribosomal RNA", at positions 527 to 896 of the family's 1533-position model. The record is from RNAcentral.
GUAGGUGGCAAGCGUUGUCCGGAAUUAUUGGGCGUAAAGCGCGCGCAGGCGGUCCUUUAAGUCUGAUGUGAAAGCCCACGGCUCAACCGUGGAGGGUCAUUGGAAACUGGGGGACUUGAGUACAAAAGAGGAAAGCGGAAUUCCACGUGUAGCGGUGAAAUGCGUAGAGAUGUGGAGGAACACCAGUGGCGAAGGCGGCUUUCUGGUCUGUAACUGACGCUGAGGCGCGAAAGCGUGGGGAGCAAACAGGAUUAGAUACCCUGGUAGUCCACGCCGUAAACGAUGAGUGCUAAGUGUUAGGGGGUUUCCCGCCCCCCUUAGUGCUGCAGCUAACGCAUUAAGCACUCCGCCUGGGGAGUACGGCCGCAAGGCUG